Frankliniella occidentalis (western flower thrips) is the source of this 305-nucleotide long non-coding RNA. RefSeq lists it as uncharacterized. NCBI's taxonomy places the organism in Eukaryota, Metazoa, Arthropoda, Insecta, Thysanoptera, Thripidae. The record is from RefSeq and is a predicted model, not a curated record. The transcript has 2 exons.
AUUCGCGAGAUUUUAUAACGUACCGGACCCUUGUGCGCCGGUCACGGAUGGCCCCUACCGGCGAGGCUACGGUAGACCGCGGAGGUAUGGCACACGCUCCGAUCAGAAAAGACUCACCGAGGGGAAUACUCGGGUGGCCGUUAUGCUUUGGCGCGACAGGUUGCUGUAAAAGUUCGAAAAGGACCGUCUUCGGUUUUUCUUCGAACGUUCGGGAAAAUGAAGAAAGUAGAAAACAGACCAUCUCAAGCAAUGAAAUUCAUCAUAGUUAGAAAGGCAGCGGAUGCCUGCUCAAGCACUCAAUUAAG